UCAUUAAAGAGAGAGUUCAAACUUAUUUUAAAGAUCUUUUUUUAUUAAAAGUUCUUUAUUUUGUGGUUCAGCAGCCAGCCGAAAAAUAUGAGAUAGUCCGUCAUUAAAGUAAAAAAUGGUUUGACAUUUUAGUACUCUUUUAUCUAAUAUAUAUACUACACACUUUUUAUCUCUAUAGGAGAUAAUAUUUUUAUUUGAACUGAUAAAAGCAGUUAAUUGUGACUGGUACGAGAGAGGCCACACAUUAAUCUGUUGUGCACUUAAUGUGUUUGUUGGUACGAGAGAGGCCAUACCUACACAUAUAUAUAUAUAUUUAAACUGAAAAAUACAUUUAUAAUCUCUAUCCAAUAAAUGUGGGCUUGGGACACCCACGGAUAGGCGUGUAUACAUGUGUGGGAGCGACAUGUAUACACAAAGUGCAUAUUCUAUCCAAAAAAAAAAAGAACGAAAGAAAGAACGAAAGAAAUAUGUGGACUUGGGGAACCCACUGGAUAGAAUUUUGUAUACAUGUCCCGGGGAGCAUGUAUACAAAAGUGUGUGUAUGUGUAUAGUUGAAAUGAGGAAAGAAAGGAAAAUCAUAAUAUUUAAUGACCAAGACUAUUAAGUAUGGAAUAGGAGCGGCUGAUCCACAUUUAUAUAAGCGAAUUGUAAUCCAAUAAUUGGAUUACAAUUAGGCGUUCUUAAUAAUAUUAAUGUGCCUUUAUUGGUACUUUAAUGUUAUUAUUUUAAAAUUCGAAAAGUUAAUAAUUUGAAAAAUUUAUCUUAUUACCCUGAGCGGCGGAUCACUCGGCUCGUGGGUCGAUGAAAGACGCAGCAAACUGCGCGUCGUCAUGUGAACUGCAGGACACAUGAACAUCGACACUUUGAACGCACAUUGCGGCCCUGGGAUUCUAUCCAAGGGCCACGCCUGUCUGAGGGUCGUUAAUAAUAAGAAAUUUUUUUAUUUUUUAAAUAAAAAAUUUCUUUAAAUUUUAUAUAUAUAUAUUUUAUAAUGUAUAUAUAUAUUGGAAAUUUUCUGUUGUCUCGCGCGCAACAUUUAUUUGUUGUGUGUGCAACAGUAUUUCUAAAUACACUUGUGUAUAUCCUUUCUUUUGGCUAAUAGUAUUUCUCUGAUAUACUUGGUUUUUUUUUCUCUUUUUAAAGCGCAUAGUUUCAAUAUGGAAAUUUGUUAUCUGGUAUAUUGGUAAUAAAAUUCUCAAGUAUAGUAGUGAAAUGUUUAACAAAGAAGGGGAAUUUUUUUCGCAUCUAGGCAAUGUCUGGGCGAUUUUUUCCCUUCCUGUAUAAAACAAUGAUCUACGAUUCCAUUUACUUUUGAGAGUUUAACCAAUUCCUAUUAUUAUAUAUAUCAGCUGUAUUUUUAAACUGCUAUGCAGAAAAAAAAAUAUAGUGUAAGUAGAUAUGUAAUAAUUACUCAGAUUUUCAAAUAGUACAUAUUGUAUCACAACUGUGUAAAAUAAAAAGGAUAUAAACCAGUUUUUGAGAAAUAUUUCAAUUGAAUGGCAACACAAAAACUUUUAUUUU
This 1521-nucleotide unclassified non-coding RNA is filed under the name Panstrongylus megistus. Its description in RNAcentral is "sequence contains ITS1, 5.8S rRNA gene, ITS2". The stretch from base 767 to 921 matches the Rfam family "5.8S ribosomal RNA". The record is from RNAcentral. Lineage: Eukaryota; Metazoa; Arthropoda; Insecta; Hemiptera; Reduviidae.